RNAcentral lists this ribosomal RNA (253 nucleotides) under uncultured bacterium. RNAcentral's name for it is "partial 16S ribosomal RNA". It matches the Rfam family "Bacterial small subunit ribosomal RNA", at positions 524 to 776 of the family's 1533-position model. The record is from RNAcentral.
UACGUAGGUGGCGAGCGUUGUCCGGAUUUACUGGGCGUAAAGAGCGCGCAGGCGGUCGUUCAAGUCGCGUGUGAAAGCCCCCGGCUCAACUGGGGAGGGUCACGCGAUACUGAUCGACUCGAAGGCAGGAGAGGGUAGUGGAAUUCCCGGUGUAGUGGUGAAAUGCGUAGAUAUCAGGAGGAACACCGGUGGCGAAGGCGGGUCUCUGGGCCGAUACUGACGCUGAGGAGCGAAAGCGUGGGAAGCAAACAGG